GGAAAGGUGGCUCAGUGAUAGAGCGCUUGCCUUACAUGCAUGAAGCCCUGGGUUUGAUUCCUCCGCACCA
RNAcentral lists this transfer RNA (70 nucleotides) under Dipodomys ordii (Ord's kangaroo rat). It matches the Rfam family "tRNA". From Rfam's summary of the family: Transfer RNA (tRNA) molecules are approximately 80 nucleotides in length. Their secondary structure includes four short double-helical elements and three loops (D, anti-codon, and T loops). The record is from Rfam by way of RNAcentral. Lineage: Eukaryota; Metazoa; Chordata; Mammalia; Rodentia; Heteromyidae.